This 348-nucleotide unclassified non-coding RNA is filed under the name soil metagenome. RNAcentral's name for it is "partial contains 5.8S ribosomal RNA, internal transcribed spacer 2, and large subunit ribosomal RNA". The stretch from base 4 to 119 matches the Rfam family "5.8S ribosomal RNA", at positions 39 to 154 of the family's 154-position model. The record is from RNAcentral.
GAUAAGAACGUAGUGAAAUGCGAUAACUAGUGUGAAUUGCAGAAUUCCGUGAAUCAUCGAGUCUUUGAACGCACAUUGCGCCCCCUGGUAUUCCGGGGGGCAUGCCUGUCCGAGCGUCAUUGCUGCCCAUCAAGCACGGCUUGUGUGUUGGGUCGUCGUCCCCUCUCCGGGGGGGACGGGCCCCAAAGGCAGCGGCGGCACCGCGUCCGAUCCUCGAGCGUAUGGGGCUUUGUCACCCGCUCUGUAGGCCCGGCCGGCGCUUGCCGAACGCAAAUCAAUCUUUUUCCAGGUUGACCUCGGAUCAGGUAGGGAUACCCGCUGAACUUAAGCAUAUCAAUAAGCGGAGGA